CCUUCGAUAGCUCAGCUGGUAGAGCGGAGGACUGUAGAGGCGGUGCCGCACUGGAAUCCUUAGGUCGCUGGUUCGAUUCCGGCUCGAAGGA
Molecule: transfer RNA, 91 nt
Filed under: Pterocles gutturalis (yellow-throated sandgrouse)
Lineage: Eukaryota; Metazoa; Chordata; Aves; Pterocliformes; Pteroclidae
Rfam family: tRNA
About the family: Transfer RNA (tRNA) molecules are approximately 80 nucleotides in length. Their secondary structure includes four short double-helical elements and three loops (D, anti-codon, and T loops).
Source: Rfam by way of RNAcentral